AUGAAGUUGGAAUUGCUAGUAAUCGCGAAUCAGAAUGUCGCGGUGAAUACGUUCCCGGGCCUUGUACACACCGCCCGUCACACCAUGAGAGUCGAUAACACCCGAAGCCUGUGAGCUAACCGUAAGGAGGCAGCAGUCGAAGGCGGGGUUGAUGAUUGGGGUGAAGUCGUAACAAGGUACC
Molecule: ribosomal RNA, 181 nt
Filed under: uncultured bacterium
Lineage: Bacteria
Description: partial 16S ribosomal RNA
Rfam family: Bacterial small subunit ribosomal RNA
Source: RNAcentral